This 109-nucleotide non-coding RNA is filed under the name Homo sapiens (human). RNAcentral describes it as "Mitochondrial DNA control region secondary structure A". It matches the Rfam family "Mitochondrial DNA control region secondary structure A". The record is from Rfam by way of RNAcentral. Lineage: Eukaryota; Metazoa; Chordata; Mammalia; Primates; Hominidae.
UUGCACCUUGGUGCAGUCAGUAAGACCGUCCUGACUUCAUAUAUAUAUAUAUAUAUAUAUAUACUUAUGUACUUCAUGCAUUACUGCUAGUCCCCAUGGAUAAUAAAUA